Molecule: ribosomal RNA, 497 nt
Filed under: uncultured bacterium
Lineage: Bacteria
Description: partial 16S ribosomal RNA
Rfam family: Bacterial small subunit ribosomal RNA
Source: RNAcentral
GAUGAACGCUGGCGGCGUGCCUAAUACAUGCAAGUCGAGCGAACGGACGAGAAGCUUGCUUUUCUGAUGUUAGCGGCGGACGGGUGAGUAACACGUGGAUAACCUACCUAUAAGACUGGGAUAACUUCGGGGAACCGGAGCUAAUACCGGAUAAUAUUUUGAACCGCAUGGUUCAAAAGUGAAAGACGGUCUUGCUGUCACUUAUAGAUGGAUCCGCGCUGCAUUAGCUAGUUGGUAAGGUAACGGCUUACCAAGGCAACGAUGCAUAGCCGACCUGAGAGGGUGAUCGGCCACACUGGAACUGAGACACGGUCCAGACUCCUACGGGAGGCAGCAGUAGGGAAUAUUCCGCAAUGGGCGAAAGCCUGACGGAGCAACGCCGCGUGAGUGAUGAAGGUCUUCGGAUCGUAAAACUCUGUUAUUAGGGAAGAACAUAUGUGUAAGUAACUGUGCACAUCUUGACGGUACCUAAUCAGAAAGCCACGGCUAACUACGUG